This 73-nucleotide transfer RNA is filed under the name Heliconius melpomene (postman butterfly). Its description in RNAcentral is "tRNA HMEL004690". It matches the Rfam family "tRNA". From Rfam's summary of the family: Transfer RNA (tRNA) molecules are approximately 80 nucleotides in length. Their secondary structure includes four short double-helical elements and three loops (D, anti-codon, and T loops). Lineage: Eukaryota; Metazoa; Arthropoda; Insecta; Lepidoptera; Nymphalidae. The record is from RNAcentral.
GAACGUAUGGCUCAGUUGAUCAGAGCGCUUGGAUGGUUUCCAAGAGACGCGAAUUCAAAUCCCGCUACGUUCA